CGUGAAGUUGGAAUCGCUAGUAAUCGCGGAUCAGCAUGCCGCGGUGAGUACGUUCCCGGGCCUUGUACACACCGCCCGUCACACCAUGAGAGUCGGGAACACCCGAAGUCCGUAGCCUAACCGCAAGGGGGGCGCGGCCGAAGGUGGGUUCGAUAAUUGGGGUGAAGUCGUAACAAGGUAUC
This 182-nucleotide ribosomal RNA is filed under the name uncultured bacterium. RNAcentral's name for it is "partial 16S ribosomal RNA". It matches the Rfam family "Bacterial small subunit ribosomal RNA", at positions 1319 to 1500 of the family's 1533-position model. The record is from RNAcentral.